Dermatophagoides farinae (American house dust mite) is the source of this 1096-nucleotide non-coding RNA. Lineage: Eukaryota; Metazoa; Arthropoda; Arachnida; Sarcoptiformes; Pyroglyphidae. The record is from RefSeq and is a predicted model, not a curated record.
UUGUUUGAUUUUGAUUCCAAUUCAUUAGAAUCGAUUGCUGAUUGCAUUUAAUGUUUCCGGUUGAUGAAAACAAAACAACAAAAAAAAAAAAUCCGAUUCCUAGUUUGAUUUCCAAACGACAGAUGGCGAUAAGCAUUGUAAAUUAAAUUCGAACCAUCAAUAUUGUUUGGAUUUGGAUGUUCAAAUAUCCAUCACCAAUCAGUUUGUGUGACUCGACAAAAAUUUUUUUUUAUUUAUUAACUCAGGUAUUUUUAAUAAUCACCAAAAUAAGCAAUAAUAAUGAUGAAACUUUUUUUUUUUGGAAAUUUUUUUCUAUAUAGAAAAAAAUCUUUAAUUCUUGUCAAUCAUUUAUGGUGAUCAUAUCACGCGAUCCACCACAUUGUCCAUCAUCGUCAACAUCAUUUCAAAGAAAUAUGUGAUCAAGAAAUUUUGUUUCGCAAUCGAAUAUGAAUUUUUUGUUUUCUUCUCGAACAGACAAUAGGUAGAUAAGAACGACAGAAAAAAAAACUUCCAUAAAGAAACAAAGACAAGAUAAGCCCUUUAUGGUUUUCUCUUUUUUUUUUUUUUUUUUUUUUUUUUGGCAAAUAUUUUCGACGACCACGACCACGACGACGACAACAAUUCAUUCAUCCGAAAGAUAGCCCGAUUUAUUGUAUACAAAUAUGGCCAUAUUAUUCAUAGAAUCAAGCAUUAUGAUGAUGAUGAUGAUCGACAACAGGAAAAAAACGGAUGACGAUGAUGAUGAAACAAAUGUCCGAACACACACACACACACACAAAAGGAUUUCUACUCUUUCUUUUCUGUUGUUUGUUUAUUUUCAAACAAAGAAAGAAGAACAUUUCGAAUCGAACACACACACACACACACAUUCAAAUACAUUCGAAAAACUGGCUAUGACUUGACUUGACUUGAAACCGAAAAUAUGAAAAUGAUUGAAAAACCAUUAUUAUUAUUAUAUAAACCGUUUGUCGAUUGUGACAAGAUAUAUAAAUAUGAAGAAAAACAAAAUUGAGGCCAUAAUUUGAGUUUCGACGAUAUUUAUUCACCAAUAUAUACCACCAAUCUUCAAUCUUCAGUGCUUCAAAUUGUAUUGUGU